RNAcentral lists this ribosomal RNA (1582 nucleotides) under uncultured bacterium. RNAcentral's name for it is "bacterial SSU rRNA". The stretch from base 1 to 1422 matches the Rfam family "Bacterial small subunit ribosomal RNA". The record is from RNAcentral.
AGAGUUUGAUCCUGGCUCAGGAUGAACGCUGGCGGUGUGCUUUAGGUAUGCAAGUCGAACGAAUUUAGUAGCAAUACUAAGUUAGUGGCGGACGAGUGAGUAACGCGUAUGAAUCUACCCAGAAGUUGGGAAUAACCUGCCGAAAGGUGGGCUAAUACCCGAUAGUCUUUCCGAAGUAAAGGGCUUUACCGCCCGCUUUUGGAGGAGCAUGCGUCCUAUCAGCUAGUUGGUAAGGUAAAAGCUUACCAAGGCUAUGACGGGUAUCUGGACUGAGAGGUUGACCAGACACGGGGGCACUGAGACACGGGCUCCACAUCUACGGAUGGCAGCAACCAGGAAUAUUGGGCAAUGGGGGAAACCCUGACCCAGCGACACCGCGUGGAGGAUGAAGGCUUUAGGGUCGUAAACUCCUUUUACUAAGCUCUUCACGGUUUAGAGAAUAAGCACCUACUAACUACGUGCCAGAAGUCUCGGUAAUACGUAUGGUGCAAGCGUUAUCCGGAUUUACUGGGCGUAAAGAGUAUGUAGGCGGUCUUUAAAGUCGCAGUUUAAAGCCCGGGGCUUAACCCCGGAUUUGGUUGCGAUACUCAAAGACUUGAGGAUUAUUUGGGGUACUGGACAGCUUUGGUGUUAGUGGUUGAAAUACGGUUGAUAUCAACUGGAACACCGAAGGCGAAUGCAAGUACCUGAGAUUUUCCUGACGCUGAGAUACGAAAGCUAGGGUAGCGAACAGAUUAAAGACCUGGUGUAGUCCUAGCCGUAACGAUGAUGCUAGCUAGUGUGCAGCACUGGCGUAGCUACGCGUUAGCAUCCGCCUGGGGAGUACGACCGCAGUCAACUCGAGGAUGACGUGAUCGCCACCAUGGAGCGUGUGUUCAUUCGAACGAGCGAACUCCAGCUGAAUAUAAGUCUAUCGAACGGAUCGUAGGGCUUAAGGUGGCUGGCUGCUCACUCGGCUGGGGUUUUUAUGACAGGACCCUGUCAGUUAUUUCUGGAGCCUCUCUCGGAGGAGAGCAAGUACAGCCUACCUGUCACAAGCCAUGUUGGCGAAUUCAUUGGAGACUGCCUUGCUUUUGCAAGGAGGAAGGAGAGGCAGAUGUCAAGUCAGCAUGGCCCUUAUGCCUUGGGCUACACACACCCUACAAUGGCGAAUAACAAUGGGUUGCGAGCUCGCAAGAGUAAGCUAAUCUCAGAAAUUUCGCCUCAGUUCAGAUUGGGGUCUGAAACUCGACCCCAUGAAGUUGGAAUUGGUAGUAAUCGCGGAUCAGCGGGCCGCGGUGAAUACGUUAUCGGGUCUUGUACACACCGCCCGUCAAGGCAGCAAAGUCGAUAGCUAUCGAACACCGUUUUUACGGGGGAGAUAGAGAUUGAUGAUGAGGCUUAAGUCGUAACAAGGUAACCGUAUCAAAGUUUAGGAACUUUGAGGCUUAUAACUGCUUGCUUCUGACAACUAACAAAAUAAGUUAGAUGUCAUUAGUUAGAAGUUGUUAGCUUUCAAAAUCGUAGAUUUUGAGGUGGGGGAGAUAGAGAUCGGUGAUGAAGCUUAAGUCGUAACAAGGUAUCCCUAGCCGAAGCUGGGGAU